This 2001-nucleotide long non-coding RNA is filed under the name Homo sapiens (human). RNAcentral describes it as "HSALNT0322063". Lineage: Eukaryota; Metazoa; Chordata; Mammalia; Primates; Hominidae. The record is from RNAcentral.
GGAAUGCCUGCAGCCCAGGAUUCCUCCUAAGCCGUGUCCCAUCUGUAUGCGACCCCACUGGAAAUCAGACUGUCCAACUCACCCCCUAGAGCCCCUGGAACUCUGGCCCAAGGCUCUCUGACUCCCUCCCAGAUCUUCUUGGCUUAGCGGCUGAAGACUGAUGCUGCCUGAUAGCCUCGGAAGCCCCCUAGACCUUCACGGAUGCCAAGCUUCAGGUAACUCUCACAGUGGAGGAAAAGCUAUUUUCCAAGAAGAAAAAGAAAAUGGAAGUACAAAUUUCCAACAGCACACAUUUUCUCUGCUCUCUCCUUGGCUCUGAAAGAGGAUGCGUGAAACAGAAUUUCAGGCUGUAAUUAAUGCAGCUCUUCAUAAGAUAAGAGGUUCUUUUAUCUACAGAAAAAUUGCUGCACUAAUUCCCAACAAGAAGUGCAAUGCUCCGGUUAAUGCUCUUUCUACAAGAAGAAUUCACCUUUUCUACCCUCUACAUAUUUACAGACAAAUUUGAAUAUUUUGUUAUGGGAAACUGAAGAUGGGUAAACAUACAAUGAUAAUAGUACUUUAUAGGGCUAAAUCUAAAAGCCUUAAAGAUUAAUAUUAUGUUUGGAUAAAUGCUGAAUAAGUUUACAUAAAGAAUUUUCAAAUAACAUUGACGCUACAGGCAUGUACUUGUAAGCACAGACCUUAAUUGGGCACAACUUAGAUCCAGCACUCUUUGAGGGGGAGAAUAAACAAAUUGGGAAAUGCAUCCUCAUUUGAUACAGUGAGGAAAAAGAGCUAUGGUUCCUUGCUCUGCUUUAAAGUACUGUCCAAAGAAGGAUGAAGCCCCGCUAUUUCAUUUUGAUUUAAAUAUUUCCUUGUAGAAUGCACAUUCCAAUUUGGAAACAAUACUUUCUAUAUGUAUGUUUCAUGUAUGUGCUUGGAAUAAUUGGUAAUGUGUUGGCACUGUGUUCCACUUAAAUGCAUGGCAUUUGUAUACUAUUUAAUGUUUUGUUGUUGUUGUUGUUUUUGAGAUGGAGUCUCAGUCUGUUGCCCAGGCUGGAGUGCAAUGGUGUGAUCUAGGCUCACUGCAACCUCUGCCUCCCGGGUUCAAGCAAUUCUCCUGCCUCAGCCUCCUGAGUAACUGGGAUUACAGGCGCCUGCCACCACGCCUGGCUAAUUUUUUUUUUUUUUUUUUUUUUUUUUUUUUUUUUUUUUUUUAGUAGAGAUGGGGUUUCUCCAUGUUGGCCAGACUGGUCUUGAACUCCUGAACUCAGGUGAUCCACACACCUUGGCCUCCCAAAGUGCUGGGAUUACAGGCGUGAGCCACUGCACCGGCCUUUUAAUGUUUUCUUAAAAACCAGUUUUCUAAGAAAAAAAGAAGAAUGGGAAUACAGCAAAUGAGUAGAAGACAGAGAUCACAAGAAUCGUGCCUGAGGUCCUGGCAAAGAAGACCCCACUGUAAGGCAGAAUGGCACCUCUGAUUCAUUGGCCCCUUUGUAUUGUUCUCAAUUUCUAUAUCCAUAAAUAAUAAGAUUUUCAUUCCCUUCCUUCCACUCUGUGAGGUGGAUGUGAAAUAGGUAGAGAGGUUUGUCACUGGGUGCAAGGCUAAGAUGCUCAGUUAAAGCAGGAAAUUACGUUGUUUGGCUGAGAAAUACGUGUAAUUUCUAAGUGUGAUUAUUGCAAGUAAAAAUGAGUGAUGUUUCAACAAGAGGGUUAUUGUAAUUCAGGGUAUAGCAACAAUUUUAAUGUAAGCGAGAAGAUGUUUGUAACACUUCCAAAAAAAUAGUACUGUAUCAGUCCAGUGUCCACUUUCCUCCAAACCUUCGUGCCCACGCACACACACAUAAAUACAUGCAGGAUUCCUGAGCAGGGAAGGAUCCUUUCUCACGUGUUCACAAAGAGACUUUUAAGCUCAGAACCUCUUGAGGGUGAGAAACUUUUCUUGGCAGACUAUCAACUGGUUCUGAGUGAACAAAUCCGACAGAGCCCUUUUCCUUGCUUCUUUUUGUUCAUAUUGUUCAC